Molecule: ribosomal RNA, 608 nt
Filed under: uncultured bacterium
Lineage: Bacteria
Description: bacterial SSU rRNA
Rfam family: Bacterial small subunit ribosomal RNA
Source: RNAcentral
CCUACGGGAGGCAGCAGUAAGGAAUAUUGGUCAAUGGAGGCAACUCUGAACCAGCCAUGCCGCGUGCAGGAAGACUGCCCUAUGGGUUGUAAACUGCUUUUAUCCGGGAAUAAACCUGCUUACGUGUAAGUAGCUGAAUGUACCGGAAGAAUAAGGAUCGGCUAACUCCGUGCCAGCAGCCGCGGUAAUACGGAGGAUCCAAGCGUUAUCCGGAUUUAUUGGGUUUAAAGGGUGCGUAGGCGGCCUGUUAAGUCAGGGGUGAAAGACGGUAGCUCAACUAUCGCAGUGCCCUUGAUACUGAUGGGCUUGAAUGGACUAGAGGUAGGCGGAAUGAGACAAGUAGCGGUGAAAUGCAUAGAUAUGUCUCAGAACACCGAUUGCGAAGGCAGCUUACUAUGGUCUUAUUGACGCUGAGGCACGAAAGCGUGGGGAUCAAACAGGAUUAGAUACCCUGGUAGUCCACGCCCUAAACGAUGAACACUCGCUGUUGGCGAUACACAGUCAGCGGCUAAGCGAAAGCGUUAAGUGUUCCACCUGGGGAGUCGCCCGCAAGGGUGAAACUCAAAUGAAUUGAGNGNGAGAGNGCGAGGACGACGACGAGGGAGAGG